RNAcentral lists this ribosomal RNA (497 nucleotides) under uncultured bacterium. Its description in RNAcentral is "partial 16S ribosomal RNA". It matches the Rfam family "Bacterial small subunit ribosomal RNA", at positions 28 to 507 of the family's 1533-position model. The record is from RNAcentral.
GACGAACGCUGGCGGCGUGCCUAAUACAUGCAAGUUGAGCGCUGAAGGUUGGUACUUGUACCAACUGGAUGAGCAGCGAACGGGUGAGUAACGCGUGGGGAAUCUGCCUUUGAGCGGGGGACAACAUUUGGAAACGAAUGCUAAUACCGCAUAAAACCUUUAAACACAAGUUUUAAGUUUGAAAGAUGCAAUUGCAUCACUCAAAGAUGAUCCCGCGUUGUAUUAGCUAGUUGGUGAGGGAAAGGCUCACCAAGGCGAUGAUACAUAGCCGACCUGAGAGGGUGAUCGGCCACAUUGGGACUGAGACACGGCCCAAACUCCUACGGGAGGCAGCAGUAGGGAAUCUUCGGCAAUGGACGAAAGUCUGACCGAGCAACGCCGCGUGAGUGAAGAAGGUUUUCGGAUCGUAAAACUCUGUUGGUAGAGAAGAACGUUGGUGAGAGUGGAAAGCUCAUCAAGUGACGGUAACUACACAGAAAGGGACGGCUAACUACGUG